ACCAGACUCCUACGGGAGGCAGCAGUGGGGGAUAUUGCACAAUGGGGGGAACCCUGAUGCAGCGACGCCGCGUGGGUGAAGAAGCGCCUCGGCGCGUAAAGCCCUGUCAGCAGGGAAGAAAAUGACGGUACCUGAAGAAGAAGCCCCGGCUAACUACGUGCCAGCAGCCGCGGUAAUACGUAGGGGGCAAGCGUUAUCCGGAUUUACUGGGUGUAAAGGGGGCGCAGACGGCGAUGCAAGCCAGGAGUGAAAGCCCGGGGCCCAACCCCGGGACUGCUCUUGGAACUGCGUGGCUGGAGUGCAGGAGGGGCAGGCGGAAUUCCUGGUGUAGCGGUGAAAUGCGUAGAUAUCAGGAGGAACACCGGUGGCGAAGGCGGCCUGCUGGACUGCAACUGACGUUGAGGCCCGAAAGCGUGGGGAGCAAACAGGAUUAGAUCCCCCGGUA
RNAcentral lists this ribosomal RNA (445 nucleotides) under uncultured bacterium. RNAcentral describes it as "bacterial SSU rRNA". It matches the Rfam family "Bacterial small subunit ribosomal RNA", at positions 330 to 792 of the family's 1533-position model. The record is from RNAcentral.